CUGUGACCCUCAGCAGGUUCCUUCACUCUUUUGAGCCUCAGUUUCCCCAAUUGUAUAACGAGGGUAAAAAACCACGCCUUUCUCUCAGGGUUAUUGUGGGUAUUCAUUGAGAAGACGUGUGUGGAGCCCGGUGUCCGGCACCCAGUGAGAGCCUGGAACAAUCAUUAGGAUGUCUGAGUCCUUAUCACUCGUGCGCAGCACAACACGACCGUGGGCACAGGGUUGAAGGCGGUUCCCUACGCCUAGCCUCUCGAUAGGAACCUUCAGGGACGGGUGGACUUAAAGGAGCCGGUGGCCUUAAGAGUCCAGUCGAUGCUGCCACGUGAUGGGCCUGGGGGAAAGCCCCGAUCCCAAGCGCCAACAGAGCAGCCGACCUCAGCCAACCUCAACCAACACGUAGGCGAGGAUGCCCAGGGUGAGCGCCAGCGGCGAGAAGACGCGCUAUCGCGAGAUCGGUGGGACCUACGCGUUUACAGGCCGGAAGUGAGGGGCGGGCCUAAGGGGGCGCGCUCCUUUUGAAACCUGAGACGGAGACCUGCGGAGGGCGAGGGCUGGUUGGAGGUCGCUGUCCUUUCUGGGAACCAAGCAGGGGUCGCAGGAGGGCGGGGAUGGGUCAGCGGGGAUCUCUGAGUGGGGUUCGGCUGAGAGAGGCCACAGUUUCAUCUUUGGGAAGCUACCCUGGGCCGGCCACGCGCCGUGAGCCGGACUGGCGACGCCCCCCUGCCUCCACCGUGCUCCUUCACCCGAGAAAUUCAGCUCAGCCCCAGCCUCUCGGCAACCUCCCUUUGGCUCCGCCUUUUAAAGGACCUUUACGAACCAGUUAAAGGUUUACCAUCAGCCAGAAGAGCUGUGGGAAUGAGCCUCCCAGAAAGAAGAGAUGGAAGGUGUUUGGCAUCUGCAGUGAUGAUGAUGAUGAUGAUCAUGAUCAUGAUCAUGAUGCUGGCUAAAUGCCGACUCUGAGCCCUGCAUGAUGGCACCACAAAACUGCGCCCCUGCCUGAUUUCAUUUCAGCAAGCUUUACUGUGAAGUGUUUAUGUGCCAGGUACCAUGUGUAGAAGCGCUGGCCCAGAGAUGAAGAUGAAGUUUCUAUCCUUAAGGCAUGCAAUGUGGGAGAUGAACAGAGACAGGCAAGAGAGCCACAGAAGAGAAAGUGAUGUGAAGACAGAAGCAGGGAUUGGAGUGAUCCAUCUACAAGCCAAGAAAUACCAAUGGUUGCUGCCAGCCACCAGGAUCUAGGAGAGUGGCAUGGAACAGAUUUUCCCUUAGAGCUUCCAGAAAGAACUAACCCUGUCAACACUGUGAUUCUGGACAGUGAGAGAGAAAUUUCUAUUGUUUUAAGCCAUCAAGUUUGUGGUAAUUUGUUAUGGCAACCGUAGGAAACAUCACCCAGUAAAUCCAAAUUAAAUAUUAUCCCAAUUUUUGCUUGAUACCAGAAAUGGCUGUAGUGUUUCAACACCCUCUAGCAUAAGAGAAUUGUAACAGGGGAAGCUGGUGUGGAAACAGACAGCAGUCUGAACCAGUUUGGACAAAAAUACUGGUCUUGCAAAUUUUAGAAAAAGCACACAACCUCUGAACACAUGACUAGGGCCCCUUCCAGGAACUUAGAAGGGGCCCGGCCGAGGGAGAGUCCCUGAAGCUUAUGUUUAAUACAUUUUACAGAAGAGCUGCCUCGGUGUAGGAAGCAGUGUAGUGUUGCGAAGACAAGCUCUGGAGCCAGACACCCUGGGUUCAAAUCCCAAUUUCGCAACUGUCUAGCUGUUGACUUGAGAGAAGUUACUUAGCCUUUCUGCGCCCCAAUUUCUUCCUUCGUAAAAUAUAAAUGGCAGUAGCACUAUCUGCCUCAUAGGGUUGUUUACCUGGUGAAGUAACAUGAUACACAUAAGGCAC
This 1887-nucleotide long non-coding RNA is filed under the name Homo sapiens (human). RNAcentral's name for it is "HSALNT0047362". The record is from RNAcentral. Lineage: Eukaryota; Metazoa; Chordata; Mammalia; Primates; Hominidae.